This is a long non-coding RNA of Cydia fagiglandana, 353 nucleotides long. RefSeq lists it as uncharacterized. NCBI's taxonomy places the organism in Eukaryota, Metazoa, Arthropoda, Insecta, Lepidoptera, Tortricidae. The transcript has 2 exons. The record is from RefSeq and is a predicted model, not a curated record.
CCCGUUUUCAAUAAUAUUUGUUUCUAGAAAUGCCUCGUAUUAAACAUUGUUUUUUCAAAACAUGCCAAAACAACACUGGUUUGUCGGCGAAAAAGAAGUUUUUUACUUCGUGAUAAUUCAGUGUCGUAAAUAAUAAAAUCACACAAGAAAAAUAUCCGAACAAUGUGAACUGUUAGUAAACCAUUGUCAAGUGUCACUGGUAGUGAAGUGACAAUGACAAUGACAAUGUCAACCCAAUCGGAAGUCAUUUCUUUGCUUGUAGUGGCAGAACUGAAGCAGCUGGGUGACGUCAAUUUCCGUUUUAACUAUUUUUAGAGAUUUUGAAUACAAAAAAUCGUAAAAAAUAUAUAAAA